GCCGGGCGUGGUGGUGUGUGCCUGUAGUCCCAGCUACUCAGGAGGCUGAGGUGGGAGGAUCGCUUGAGCCCAGGAGUUCUGGGCUGUAGUGCACUAUGCCGAUCGGGUGUCCACACUAAGUUCGGCAUCAAUAUGGUGGCCUCCCGGGAGCAGGGGACCACCAGGUUGCCUAAGUAGGGGUGAACGGACCCAGGUCGGAAACGGAGCAGGUCAAAACUCCUGUGCUGAUCAGUAGUGGGAUGGCGCCUGUGAAUAGCCACUGCACUCCAGCCUGGGCAACAUAGCAAGACCCUGUCUCU
RNAcentral lists this signal recognition particle RNA (299 nucleotides) under Saimiri boliviensis boliviensis (Bolivian squirrel monkey). RNAcentral describes it as "Metazoan signal recognition particle RNA (ENSSBOG00000008447.1)". It matches the Rfam family "Metazoan signal recognition particle RNA". From Rfam's summary of the family: The signal recognition particle (SRP) is a universally conserved ribonucleoprotein. It is involved in the co-translational targeting of proteins to membranes. The record is from RNAcentral. Lineage: Eukaryota; Metazoa; Chordata; Mammalia; Primates; Cebidae.